UGAGAUCCAAUAGAAUAGGGUUUUACAAGGGUUUUGGUAUUGAAAAUAUAAAACUUAAACUUUCUGGGGAGGGGGUUCCCCUUUUAUCCAUUUCGCUAUGCUUGCUGGUGACGUGUAAAGGCCUCUCCAUGAUUGGGACACGCGUCUCUGACAUACAGAUUCGGGCGUACGAGGGUAUCAGCCGCCUGCUCCAUGCGUAACGGCCUCUGAUUCUCCUCGUGCGUACGCUCGAGCGGAUCUGCUAGGUUGUCUGAAUAUGGCUCUGGAAACUGGGCUGGGCCGAGAGUCGGGCCGGACGCUGAACCUGAGAGGAGAGGGCCUGUUGGUCGCGGACUGGGCCGAUCCGAAUGAAGAAGCUUGGUUAAGC
Molecule: long non-coding RNA, 367 nt
Filed under: Manihot esculenta (cassava)
Lineage: Eukaryota; Viridiplantae; Streptophyta; Magnoliopsida; Malpighiales; Euphorbiaceae
Description: long non-coding RNA (MESC_LNC009846)
Source: RNAcentral